UUUUUGUAUUUAAUAUAAAGUCUAAUCUGCCCCCUGAUAAUUUAUUAAAGGGCUGCAGUAUUUUGACUGUACAAAGGUAGCAUAAUCAUUUGUCUCUUAAUUGGUGACUAGUAUGAAAGAUUGGAUGAAAUAUAGACUGUCUCAUUAUAAUGAAUAAAAUUUAAUUUUUUAGUAAAAAAGCUAAAAUAGUUUUAAAAGACGAGAAGACCCUAUAGAGUUUAAUAAUUAUUUUUAUAUAGAAUAAAAUAUAAAAAUUUAAAUUUAAAUGAAAGUAAUUAUUUUGUUGGGGUGAUAGAAAAAUUAAAUUAACUUUUUUUAAAGAUAUACAUUAAUAAAUGAAUAAAUGAUCCAUUAAUAAUGAUUAUAAGAAAAAAUUACCUUAGGGAUAACAGCGUAAUUUUUUUUUUUAGGCCAAAUAAGAAAAAGAGUUUGCGACCUCGAUGUUGGAUUAAGAUAAAAUUUAAAUGUAAAAGUUUAAAAUUUUGAUCUGUUCGAUCAUUAAAA
RNAcentral lists this ribosomal RNA (504 nucleotides) under Troides helena (common birdwing). RNAcentral describes it as "partial 16S ribosomal RNA". RNAcentral also lists the same sequence under 1 other name. The record is from RNAcentral. Lineage: Eukaryota; Metazoa; Arthropoda; Insecta; Lepidoptera; Papilionidae.